AUUCCAUGAUGUGGGCAUCUCCUUUGCAAUUCCUUUAAAUCAUCCCCAUGCCUCAUACAAAGACUCCCCAUCCAUUUGAUAGAAGUUGUUAAUCUCUCCUUUAAUUAU
Small nucleolar RNA from Humulus lupulus (European hop), 108 nucleotides. NCBI's taxonomy places the organism in Eukaryota, Viridiplantae, Streptophyta, Magnoliopsida, Rosales, Cannabaceae. The record is from RefSeq and is a predicted model, not a curated record.